This is a long non-coding RNA of Dicentrarchus labrax (European seabass), 1850 nucleotides long. RefSeq lists it as uncharacterized. The transcript has 3 exons. NCBI's taxonomy places the organism in Eukaryota, Metazoa, Chordata, Actinopteri, Moronidae. The record is from RefSeq and is a predicted model, not a curated record.
UUCAGAGGAUGCAGCCCCUGUCUCUCCUGAGGGGGGAUUCCUCCGCCGCUGUCCGUCACCAGCGGAUGCUGGGAAUUUAAGCGAAGUGUGACAGCGGAGGACAGUCCUCCCCGAGUGCGUCAGGCUGCGACCCGGAGAGAGCGCAUGGCGAGAAGGGCGCCUACAGGAAUCUGUGGCACAGUGCAGUCUGCCACUCCAGAGAGAGACGCGCUCGUCUCACAUGAAUAAUGGCCUCGGUGAGAAACCCACUGCUCGGAGAACCAUGUCAUCAUACCUCAGCAACUCUCCCCGAGGCUGCUGAGUUACAAACAGAUGAGCACAGGAGCCUUAAUGGAAGUUGGAGGUGAUGGAAACUUAAUGGACCUCAAUGUAUAAAAUAAACAACGCGUUUUUUCAUCCACUGUAUAGGGUGGCUCUGCUGCUUGUAUUGUAUAUUUUGUCUACAUGGACCAAUGUGAAAAUGAUUGAAUCUAUUAGAGUGGACUAGUGUAUGGUAGGCAUACAAUGUAUAAGAUGUAAAGAUUAAUUCCACUUUUCCCAAAUCCUUGUCCAGCAACUAUCCAUUUGUGUGUCAGAUUCCAAAGUGGAGCAAGUGAAGGUGCUGAGGGCAAAAAAAAUUAUAAUCUUACAGACUGUCAAACAGCAGCUGCAGCAGACAUGACAAUGCCAAAGCUACUCAGGCUGCACAGCUCUCCACAGCAGAUCCACAUUCCUCAUCUAAUCUUGUGUUGUGUGUGGAUUGUGUCUGUCCACAUUAUCCCAAUGAGUCAUCUGAAGCUCAGCGAACAGCAUUUGGCCUCAUGCUCUCUUCACAAAUUCAGAGGAGGGAUAAACUGCCAAGGACAAUCUGAUAGGAUGAGGAGUUACUGAGGCUACAACAGCAAUUACCGUGAGAGGAUGGGGAGUCACUCACAGGCCAGACAAAAGGGAAGGUCGCAGGGCACAAAGCUUGAGCAGCAGCAAACUUUCCUUCAUAUCAGGAAACUGCAGGUGCCCGGAGAUUUCAGGCUCUCCCCCAGUCCAAGGCUGCAUCCACACAUCCUCCCAUCAUCAAAAGGCCCUCCCACUGUCCUUCAAAGCACCUCUGCGCUUUAAAUUUCACCUCUCUAACCAUCCAGCUCAGCCCUUUUCCUAUGCAGAUCAAUAGAAACAGGAUCCGUUGCUCCAUGCUGCGGUAAUCUGAUGAGCGGGGCUAGGCCGCCGGCUGGUGCCACGUCCUGACUCUAAUGGGGGUCACACCGUCUCCGACCCAGCGGCGGCCCAGCGGGCAAGGCGGCGCAGGUGGAGGCCCUCUUCCAGACACCGGUGGCACCAAGAGAAAUCACGUCACCUCACCGGUGCUUUUUUACAAAAUGCAAACAGGUUCACUUCCUGUUCACAACACAGAGUGUAUGGCCACAUGCAAUUCAUUUGUCCCCUGAAGGCCCAUUCAAGCACUUAUUGUGCCUCAUGAGCUGACGCAUGAUUUGACCAUUUUCAUAAUGAACCCUGGUCCUAUAAAAGGCUGACAAUAUGAUUAGUACACUUGAUUAUUUUCUGACUUGAAAAUAGCCUGUACGUCAUUAUUUCUCAAUGAACCUGGGUCAUUCAUGUCCUCCAUACCUCAUUCUCAAGUACCUUUAUGUCAUUGUUUUGCCUCAGGACUUUGUGUUUGUUUAAAGACACAGUGUGCAUCAGUUAAUGAGUGCAAACGAGAACCUUCCCUGUCUGCAGUUUAUUAAUGGAAACGAAGACUGGAAAUUGUCUAGCCAUCUUAAUAAAAUGAACCCCAUUGUCUGUCACAUUAAUUGAGUCAGCAGAGUGAGUUCUACUUGUGUGUGUGUGUGUGUGUGUGUGUGUGUGUGUGUGUG